This 462-nucleotide ribosomal RNA is filed under the name uncultured bacterium. RNAcentral describes it as "partial 16S ribosomal RNA". It matches the Rfam family "Bacterial small subunit ribosomal RNA", at positions 28 to 507 of the family's 1533-position model. The record is from RNAcentral.
GAUAAACGCUGGCGGCGUGCUUAACACAUGCAAGUCGAACGAAGUUUUUCCUUCGGGAGAAACUUAGUGGCGGACGGGUGAGUAACGCGUGGGUAACCUGCCCUGUACAGGGGGACAACAGCUGUAAACGGCUGCUAAUACCGCAUAAGCCCUUAGCACUGCAUGGUGCAUAGGGAAAAGGAGCAAUCCGGUACAGGAUGGACCCGCGUCUGAUUAGCCAGUUGGCAGGGUAACGGCCUACCAAAGCGACGAUCAGUAGCCGAUCUGAGAGGAUGUACGGCCACAUUGGGACUGAGACACGGCCCAGACUCCUACGGGAGGCAGCAGUGGGGAAUAUUGCACAAUGGAGGAAACUCUGAUGCAGCGACGCCGCGUGAGUGAAGAAGUAUUUCGGUAUGUAAAGCUCUAUCAGCAGGGAAGAAAAUGACGGUACCUGACUAAGAAGCACCGGCUAAAUACGUG